This is a long non-coding RNA of Oncorhynchus keta (chum salmon), 151 nucleotides long. RefSeq lists it as uncharacterized. The transcript is spliced from 3 exons. The record is from RefSeq and is a predicted model, not a curated record. Lineage: Eukaryota; Metazoa; Chordata; Actinopteri; Salmoniformes; Salmonidae.
CACCACCAAGUAACAUGAAUGUAUAGCCCUACACCACCAGGUAACAUGAAUGUAUAGCCCUACACCACCAGGUAACAUGAAUGUAUAGCCCUACACCACCAGGUAACAUGAAUGUAUAGCCCUACACCACCAGGUAACAUGAAUGUAUAGC